GACGAACGCUGGCGGCGUGCCUAAUACAUGCAAGUAGAACGCUGAAGGAGGAGCUUGCUUCUCUGGAUGAGUUGCGAACGGGUGAGUAACGCGUAGGUAACCUGCCUGGUAGCGGGGGAUAACUAUUGGAAACGAUAGCUAAUACCGCAUAAUAGUAGAUGUUGCAUGACAUUUGCUUAAAAGGUGCAAUUGCAUCACUACCAGAUGGAUCUGCGUUGUAUUAGCUAGUUGGUGGGGUAACGGCUCACCAAGGCGACGAUACAUAGCCGACCUGAGAGGGUGAUCGGCCACACUGGGACUGAGACACGGCCCAGACUCCUACGGGAGGCAGCAGUAGGGAAUCUUCGGCAAUGGACGGAAGUCUGACCGAGCAACGCCGCGUGAGUGAAGAAGGUUUUCGGAUCGUAAAGCUCUGUUGUAAGAGAAGAACGAGUGUGAGAGUGGAAAGUUCACACUGUGACGGUAUCUUACCAGAAAGGGACGGCUAACUACGUGCCAGCAGCCGCGGUAAUACGUAGGUCCCGAGCGUUGUCCGGAUUUAUUGGGCGUAAAGCGAGCGCAGGCGGUUAGAUAAGUCUGAAGUUAAAGGCUGUGGCUUAACCAUAGUACGCUUUGGAAACUGUUUAACUUGAGUGCAAGAGGGGAGAGUGGAAUUCCAUGUGUAGCGGUGAAAUGCGUAGAUAUAUGGAGGAACACCGGUGGCGAAAGCGGCUCUCUGGCUUGUAACUGACGCUGAGGCUCGAAAGCGUGGGGAGCAAACAGG
RNAcentral lists this ribosomal RNA (763 nucleotides) under uncultured Streptococcus sp. RNAcentral describes it as "bacterial SSU rRNA". It matches the Rfam family "Bacterial small subunit ribosomal RNA", at positions 28 to 776 of the family's 1533-position model. The record is from RNAcentral. Lineage: Bacteria; Bacillati; Bacillota; Bacilli; Lactobacillales; Streptococcaceae.